This 520-nucleotide ribosomal RNA is filed under the name Escherichia coli. RNAcentral describes it as "bacterial SSU rRNA". It matches the Rfam family "Bacterial small subunit ribosomal RNA", at positions 54 to 563 of the family's 1533-position model. The record is from RNAcentral. Lineage: Bacteria; Pseudomonadati; Pseudomonadota; Gammaproteobacteria; Enterobacterales; Enterobacteriaceae.
CAUGCAAGUCGAACGGUAACAGGAAGCAGCUUGCUGCUUUGCUGACGAGUGGCGGACGGGUGAGUAAUGUCUGGGAAACUGCCUGAUGGAGGGGGAUAACUACUGGAAACGGUAGCUAAUACCGCAUAACGUCGCAAGACCAAAGAGGGGGACCUUCGGGCCUCUUGCCAUCGGAUGUGCCCAGAUGGGAUUAGCUAGUAGGUGGGGUAACGGCUCACCUAGGCGACGAUCCCUAGCUGGUCUGAGAGGAUGACCAGCCACACUGGAACUGAGACACGGUCCAGACUCCUACGGGAGGCAGCAGUGGGGAAUAUUGCACAAUGGGCGCAAGCCUGAUGCAGCCAUGCCGCGUGUAUGAAGAAGGCCUUCGGGUUGUAAAGUACUUUCAGCGGGGAGGAAGGGAGUAAAGUUAAUACCUUUGCUCAUUGACGUUACCCGCAGAAGAAGCACCGGCUAACUCCGUGCCAGCAGCCGCGGUAAUACGGAGGGUGCAAGCGUUAAUCGGAAUUACUGGGCGUAA